This 500-nucleotide ribosomal RNA is filed under the name Jamides celeno. RNAcentral describes it as "partial 16S ribosomal RNA". Lineage: Eukaryota; Metazoa; Arthropoda; Insecta; Lepidoptera; Lycaenidae. The record is from RNAcentral.
AAAAGUGAGGAUGAUCGACCGCGGCGAGCCCCAGCCCACCCGCCACAGACAGACACGAAGGGACGCAGCAAACCGACCGCACCAGGCAGCACAACCACCAGCCCCCCAASCGAAGACUCGUACGAAAGACUCGACGAAAUAUAAACUGUCUCUGAUUUAUAAUUAGAAUUUAAUUUUUUAGUUAAAAAGCUGAAAUAAUUUUAAAAGACGAGAAGACCCUAUAGAGUUUUAUAAUUUUUUUUUUUUGAUAUUUAUAUAAAAUUUUAAUAUUAAAAAUUACAAAUUAUUUUAUUGGGGUGAUAAAAAAAUUAAAAAAACUUUUUUUUUUUUUUUUCGUUAAAAAAUGAAUAGUUGAUCCUAAAAAAAAAUUAUGAAAAAAAAGACUCCAAUGAUAACCGCCCUAAAAUGUCGUGGGUCGCAUGGAUAAACCCUCGACUGUUGAAGGCGAACCGAGAUAACGAGAAACGUAUGAGUUCUUAGUGUAGAUCCACGAGAUUAUG